RNAcentral lists this non-coding RNA (48 nucleotides) under Echinostoma caproni. The record is from RNAcentral. Lineage: Eukaryota; Metazoa; Platyhelminthes; Trematoda; Plagiorchiida; Echinostomatidae.
CUCUCGAUGAUGAGUCCUAAACAGGACGAAACAGCUGUCCAGCUAUAU